This 86-nucleotide transfer RNA is filed under the name Pseudomonadota bacterium. RNAcentral describes it as "Proteobacteria bacterium tRNA-Leu". It matches the Rfam family "tRNA". From Rfam's summary of the family: Transfer RNA (tRNA) molecules are approximately 80 nucleotides in length. Their secondary structure includes four short double-helical elements and three loops (D, anti-codon, and T loops). Lineage: Bacteria; Pseudomonadati; Pseudomonadota. The record is from RNAcentral.
GCGGAUAUGGUGGAAUUGGUAGACAUAUCAGAUUUAGGUUCUGAUGACUAAAUGUCGUGGGGGUUCAAGUCCCUCUAUCCGUACAA